Molecule: ribosomal RNA, 701 nt
Filed under: Bacillus pumilus
Lineage: Bacteria; Bacillati; Bacillota; Bacilli; Caryophanales; Bacillaceae
Description: bacterial SSU rRNA
Rfam family: Bacterial small subunit ribosomal RNA
Source: RNAcentral
GGGUAACCUGCCUGUAAGACUGGGAUAACUCCGGGAAACCGGAGCUAAUACCGGAUAGUUCCUUGAACCGCAUGGUUCAAGGAUGAAAGACGGUUUCGGCUGUCACUUACAGAUGGACCCGCGGCGCAUUAGCUAGUUGGUGGGGUAAUGGCUCACCAAGGCAACGAUGCGUAGCCGACCUGAGAGGGUGAUCGGCCACACUGGGACUGAGACACGGCCCAGACUCCUACGGGAGGCAGCAGUAGGGAAUCUUCCGCAAUGGACGAAAGUCUGACGGAGCAACGCCGCGUGAGUGAUGAAGGUUUUCGGAUCGUAAAGCUCUGUUGUUAGGGAAGAACAAGUGCGAGAGUAACUGCUCGCACCUUGACGGUAUCUAACCAGAAAGCCACGGCUAACUACGUGCCAGCAGCCGCGGUAAUACGUAGGUGGCAAGCGUUGUCCGGAAUUAUUGGGCGUAAAGGGCUCGCAGGCGGUUUCUUAAGUCUGAUGUGAAAGCCCCCGGCUCAACCGGGGAGGGUCAUUGGAAACUGGGAAACUUGAGUGCAGAAGAGGAGAGUGGAAUUCCACGUGUAGCGGUGAAAUGCGUAGAGAUGUGGAGGAACACCAGUGGCGAAAGCGACUCUCUGGUCUGUAACUGACGCUGAGGAGCGAAAGCGUGGGGAGCGAACAGGAUUAGAUACCCUGGUAGUCCACGCCGUAAA